UCGUGCCUUGUAGUGGGGUUUCGUGCAAGGAAAUUGUUUGCACUUUGCAGUGACCCCAGUGUUGCCUCGCCUUGUAAAUGCAAGUGUGGCAUCUUGUGCUCUAAGUUUUCUCAUAUCAAUUUUUGGGCUCCAAGUUUCUCUUUGCAAUUUCCACCGUUUUUCCCAUAACCUACACCACUGUGAAGUUUUCCUCUUGCGUUUUCCAUUUAUGCUGAAUAUCAUCCUCAACCCUCAUUUACUUCCCUACUCAUUGGAACACUAAAUUUGCUGCCAUCACUAAAGACCAAAGAUGACCAAACCCUAUUGGCUAUCGCGAAGACGUAAACCCCAAACAGUCUCUUUCCCUCAAACUCGCAGUGCAGAUAGCGGUUUGUAGACAGAAGUACCUCUAAUCCUCCCUUUGCAUUAAGCCAUUGACUUACUUCUUCCUUUAUUUGUCUUCAACUUCAAAACUCGACACGAAAGCACCUCCAUCGUUAGAGCCAGAAAGGAGAUGAUUCCUUUACAGUUACUUAUUUUGUGAACUUUUAGGGCUUGUCCAUCAAAGAUGCUACUAAGGUAUCAAAAAAGGUUAAAUUCAAUAAACCAUUGUGUGCAUUCUUUUUUGUCCGCACACGCUACAAGAUAAUGGCCAAUGAUCUUCAAAUCAAAGGAGAUCAAAGCAUUACCCCUGUUUAGAUGCUAGAGAUGGGAUGAUGAUGAUAGGGUAAAUGAUUUAAUUAUAAGCAGUUGAUUGUGUUCCGUUCAGCUGAAUAAAUUGGGCAAAACAUCAGCAGAUGUCACCUUACUUUUCACAUGGGUUGUAAGUGAUGUUUUUUGUUUGCUGUUAUGGUUAUUAGAAUUUUUGUUAAAGGUAAACCAUGUAAUGAUGAAAGAAAGUGAAGCAAGUAGAUAUUUUCAAUAGCUUAUAAAUGCUAUUAAUUAUUGCCACAGCAGGGAUGUCUACUAUCGAGACCUAAAGGUAAGACUUAUUCUCCUGUCUUAUCAGCAAAAUUUCACUUUGAUAUCAAAAGAAACAAACUCUUAUAUGGUUUUCAUUUUUUAUUUAAUAAAAAUUUUACAGCUAGAAAAGUUGCUAUUAGAUGCUUCUGAAAUUUCUAAAGUUUCUGAUUUUAGGUUAAGUGCUCUGUCCCAACAAGUCAAGGUAGUUGUGUUUCAUUGCCUUCUAAGAUUUACUUUUCUUUGUUAUUUAUCUUUAUUCAAUAUAUUGAUAAUCCUAUUGUCAAGUUUGCUGCUAAUCAUCCUUUGAGAAAAAGAAAAUGAAAGAAAGCAAAACAAUUGUUUUUUUAAUUUAUUUUAACAUAUCUGUAAAUUGGCUAAAUGCUUGCUUUUAACACACCUUACAUGUGCUUAUUUAUAUGCAUGAAUCUUGUAUUGGCUUUUCAGGAUGGGUAAUAUAGGAUUUGAAAAAAGAGAGGGGAUAUACUAGCUCGCAUCACAAGCCUUGUGAUUGUUAAACUAGCGCCUACAGUUGAGAAUAGAAUAAGUAAAUGGUGGUAUUAAAUUGAUUAAUAUUUUUAAUAGUAUACUUUUAAAGGUCCCAUUUUGUUGCUUUGUUCUUUGAUUUUUUUUUAAUUGAAAGGCAUUAACUAUCAAUGACUCCAUAUGAUGUUGCAAUUAGUAUUUUUGGAGAAGAUAGCAUAAUCUUUUAAACCAGAGUAUGACCUAUAUCCUUCCACUAAAAUGAGUUGGAAUGCUAGUAUGCCUAAUCUUUAAGCAAGAAAUUAUGGGUCUCUAGUUGUCAAUUAAGUGCAAAUGGUAGUACAAACUCAACUCACUUGGGAUUACCCACUUAAUUUAACGCAGCUGUUAUGUGCUCAUUAUUUUUAUAAUCUUUCAUGUUAGAAGUAUAAUUGCUUGAUAACAUUACAUUAUUGAGCUCUUCAUUUCAUGGCCUCAGUUAAUGACUAUGGAGUUAGAGACUCUAAUAUGGAAAGAUUUUAGCUUUCUAAGCACUUAUGCUUUUUGUGGCCUGCAGUUGAUUUAUUAUAAGUUAAUUAAAGCAAACGAAAUCAUUGCUUAAACUGGCCUCAAUUUCUAUCUUUCUAUCUAUGUAGAAUUGACUAAACUUUUGUAGUCUUUAUCCCUUUGUAUUCUACAACUUAUAUGAUAAAGAGAGGAUGAAAAGAGGCAUAAUAGUACCAUGAUGUUUUGUUGGAAGCAUUGCUUAACCAUGGAGAGAUAGCUUAUUUGAUUUUCACAAUGCUUUGGCUUUCUUCCUUUUUCUUUACGAUUUACUAAAAUUGCUGGUCUCACAUGUUAUAGUUAUCAUUGCAGACAGUGGUCUCUCUGGAGUUAACGAGCAAUUGAAAAGAUUUGGAAUCUCCUUAUUGUCAUUAGCAUGACAGAGGUGGUGUUUUUGGUUUUUGGUAGAAAUAGUGUGUCCUGAACUCUAAAGCACUGGAAAAAUAAAGUUACAAUGACUUGCCUCAUAAUUUGCAUUUGCACAGAAAAUUCCUCCGGUUUAAGAACAAAAUAGAAGGAAUAGGUUUUCACUUUUUA
This is a long non-coding RNA of Prosopis cineraria, 2502 nucleotides long. RefSeq lists it as uncharacterized. The transcript is spliced from 3 exons. The record is from RefSeq and is a predicted model, not a curated record. NCBI's taxonomy places the organism in Eukaryota, Viridiplantae, Streptophyta, Magnoliopsida, Fabales, Fabaceae.